GCUACUUGCGGUCCGGCAUCGGCGUUAAAACGUCGGGGUCAAGCGUGUUCCGGAAUGAUUGGGGGUAAAGAGGUCGUAGGCGGUCUGUUGCGUCCGCUGUGAAAACUCGGGGCUUAACCCCGAGCCUGCAGUGGAUACGGGCAGACGAGAGGUAGGUAGGGGAGAAUGGAAUUCCCGGUGUAGCGGUGAAAUGCGCAGAUAGCGGGAGGAACACCGGUGGCGAAGGCGGUUCUCUGGGCCUUACCUGACGCUGAGGAGCGAAAGCGUGGGGAGCGAACAGGAUUAGAUACCCGAGUAGUC
RNAcentral lists this ribosomal RNA (300 nucleotides) under uncultured Salegentibacter sp. RNAcentral's name for it is "bacterial SSU rRNA". It matches the Rfam family "Bacterial small subunit ribosomal RNA", at positions 496 to 795 of the family's 1533-position model. The record is from RNAcentral. Lineage: Bacteria; Pseudomonadati; Bacteroidota; Flavobacteriia; Flavobacteriales; Flavobacteriaceae.